GCUACAGGAUGGUAGCUGGUGGAGGAAUCUUGAAGGUGUUGCAGGCGAUAGAAUUGUUCUGGCGGGGAAGAAGAAGACAAGAGGACAUUACUACCUGAUUGAGAGUCCAGUGCAAAGUGGAGCUUCAGGAGCCAAGAGGAGCUCAGAGCGAGGUGGAGCUCCAGGUGGAGUUGGAUCGGGCACGAGAUGUGAGACUCGGGAGGAUGAGAGGCGAUAUCGCAAGGUGAGAUUCUUAUUGCCGCAGGAUAACACCCCGAGC
RNAcentral lists this long non-coding RNA (259 nucleotides) under Elaeis guineensis (African oil palm). RNAcentral describes it as "long non-coding RNA (EGUI_LNC009419)". Lineage: Eukaryota; Viridiplantae; Streptophyta; Magnoliopsida; Arecales; Arecaceae. The record is from RNAcentral.